This 874-nucleotide long non-coding RNA is filed under the name Felis catus (domestic cat). RNAcentral describes it as "lncRNA (ENSFCAG00000052616.1)". Lineage: Eukaryota; Metazoa; Chordata; Mammalia; Carnivora; Felidae. The record is from RNAcentral.
CUUAGAUGGUAAUGUCUGGAUCUAAAGAAAAAUGGAGAUAACUCUGUCACUGAAAUCUCACUUUUGAUGUUGUACAUUAGUUAAAUAUGUAAAGGCUAUUCCUUCUCCUUUCUCUCUAUAUGACCUGGGCUUGUUCACAGCAUGGCAAUACAAGACUUUUGAUUAUAGGCAGCACGGAGACAGAUGAUACUUUCAAUAUACAUCUAUUCUACUAUGAUAUUCUCAUUUAUGUCAAUUUCUACAGUAUCCUUUCUUUGAUUAAAUAGACUUCCAAAAAUGAUCCGUCUUUUCCAUUUCAUUGAUUUUUUUGAAAGCACACCUUGUUGGUUAUUGAGUACGCCUAAUUUUUCUGAUGAAUGCUUAUUUAUUGAUAACUAUUUUUAAUUUACGAUUGCAUAUAUUUGUUAUUUUUCUAAUUGAUUACAUUCUUUACCUUUGAGCAUUUACAGUUAUAAAACUUCAACUGAGAAUCAGUUUGGUCACAUUCAUUAUUAUUUAUUUUUAAAUAGUUUGUAAAUAGUGUUUUUUUAAUUUAUUUAAAAAAAUUUUCCUAGCACUGCUCCAUCAACUGAUGAAUGGAUAAAGAACCUGUGGUUUAUAUACACAAUGGAAUACUACUUGGCAAUGAGAAAGAAUGAAAUAUGGCCUUUUGUAGCAACAUGGAUGGAACUGGAGAGUGUUAUGCUAAGUGAAAUAAGUCAUACAGAGAAAGACAGAUACCAUAUGUUUUCACUCUUAUGUGGAUCCUGAGAAACUUAACAGAAGACCAUGGGGGAGGGGAAGGAAAAAAAAAGAGAGAGGGAGGGAGCCAAAUCAUAAGAGACUCUUAAAAACUGAGAAUAAACUGAGGGUCGAUGGGGGUGGGAGGGAGGGG